This 119-nucleotide ribosomal RNA is filed under the name Pteropus alecto (black flying fox). The record is from RNAcentral. Lineage: Eukaryota; Metazoa; Chordata; Mammalia; Chiroptera; Pteropodidae.
UUCUAUAGCCAUGCUACCGUGAACAAGCCAGAUUCCGUCUGAUCUUGGAAGCUAAGCAGGGUCAGGUCUGGUUAGUACUUGGAUGGGAGACCACCUAGGAAGACUAGGUGCUGUAGGCU